GAGAGCCGGAUGAGGGGAGACCCUCACGUCCGAUUCGGAGGGCAGGGAUAUCCCGACCCUAC
Non-coding RNA from Triticum aestivum (bread wheat), 62 nucleotides. The record is from Rfam. NCBI's taxonomy places the organism in Eukaryota, Viridiplantae, Streptophyta, Magnoliopsida, Poales, Poaceae.